GCAGCAUCCUCGUAAACAUUAUUUAGCCUCAACUUAUAAAGAUGUAGCAGCGUUGGCUUCUUCAGUCAAUGGCGUUGGCUUACCACCCUAUAAAUUGGUGACCUUUUCUUCUGCUACAUCUUCUUCAUCUGCCUUGGUGUUCAAUGGUUUUCCAUCUAAGCGUGCCAUCAGAUCUUCAUUCAACAAAUCCAAUUUCCAUACUUGAGACUCAAGACGAUAAUUUAGUUGUUGCAUUCCUCCAACAUUUUCUACCAUUCUUCUGUCGAUUUCAAAGACAUCUUCAAAGGUGUUGUCCCUGAAAUUGGCGUAUUGGUCUACACUAAAUUAUUGGCUUCCUUCUCUAAUGCGGCUAAUUUAGUCUACAACAUCGUAACCUUUACCUGUGGCCGCUCUUGCCAUUCCUUCCAAUCGGUCUCCAUCUUUGCUUUCUUAGACACCAAGUUUGCUAUCUUGUCCUUUUUCUGCCAUCCACUUCUCCUCAAUCCUAAACUCCACCAGCGCACCAUCAAUUGGUGGUAAGUUUUGUAAAAUACGUAAAAAUUCAUGCCUAUGCAUUCCUCAAAAAUCUUGCUACUUCUCCUUAGUCCAACAAACAUCCAACCAGAUCGACCCCAUGUUAGUCACAAUAACACACUCUAAUGGUGGCAACUCAUCCUUGCACCUUACAUUGCAUUGUUUCUCCUCUCUAUUUAACUGCCUCUUAAUCUUUUCAAUUGCCAUUGUAUUCUAACACAAGCAAGCACUCACAACUAAUCUCUCAAAACACACAUACACGGUUGCUUAUACAAAAAAAACCAUGAUGCUCGUCAAGAGUCUCCUU
This 820-nucleotide long non-coding RNA is filed under the name Physcomitrium patens. Its description in RNAcentral is "long non-coding RNA (PPAT_LNC013501)". The record is from RNAcentral. Lineage: Eukaryota; Viridiplantae; Streptophyta; Bryopsida; Funariales; Funariaceae.